RNAcentral lists this ribosomal RNA (998 nucleotides) under Salmonella enterica subsp. enterica serovar Kentucky. RNAcentral describes it as "partial 23S ribosomal RNA". It matches the Rfam family "Bacterial large subunit ribosomal RNA", at positions 566 to 1554 of the family's 2925-position model. Lineage: Bacteria; Pseudomonadati; Pseudomonadota; Gammaproteobacteria; Enterobacterales; Enterobacteriaceae. The record is from RNAcentral.
GCCCAACACACAAAACAAGCGGUGAGUGCUUUGGGGUGGGGUGACUGCGUACCUUUUGUAUAAUGGGUCAGCGACUUAUAUUCUGUAGCAAGGUUAACCGUAUAGGGGAGCCGAAGGGAAACCGAGUCUUAACUGGGCGUUAAGUUGCAGGGUAUAGACCCGAAACCCGGUGAUCUAGCCAUGGGCAGGUUGAAGGUUGGGUAACACUAACUGGAGGACCGAACCGACUAAUGUUGAAAAAUUAGCGGAUGACUUGUGGCUGGGGGUGAAAGGCCAAUCAAACCGGGAGAUAGCUGGUUCUCCCCGAAAGCUAUUUAGGUAGCGCCUCGUGAACUCAUCUUCGGGGGUAGAGCACUGUUUCGGCUAGGGGGUCAUCCCGACUUACCAACCCGAUGCAAACUGCGAAUACCGAAGAAUGUUAUCACGGGAGACACACGGCGGGUGCUAACGUCCGUCGUGAAGAGGGAAACAACCCAGACCGCCAGCUAAGGUCCCAAAGUCACAGUUAAGUGGGAAACGAUGUGGGAAGGCUCAGACAGCCAGGAUGUUGGCUUAGAAGCAGCCAUCAUUUAAAGAAAGCGUAAUAGCUCACUGGUCGAGUCGGCCUGCGCGGAAGAUGUAACGGGGCUAAACUGUGCACCGAAGCUGCGGCAGCGACGCUUAUGCGUUGUUGGGUAGGGGAGCGUUCUGUAAGCCUGCGAAGGUGUCCUGUGAGGGAUGCUGGAGGUAUCAGAAGUGCGAAUGCUGACAUAAGUAACGAUAAUGCGGGUGAAAAGCCCGCUCGCCGGAAGACCAAGGGUUCCUGUCCAACGUUAAUCGGGGCAGGGUGAGUCGACCCCUAAGGCGAGGCCGAAAGGCGUAGUCGAUGGGAAACGGGUUAAUAUUCCCGUACUUGGUGUUACUGCGAAGGGGGGACGGAGAAGGCUAUGUUGGCCGGGCGACGGUUGUCCCGGUUUAAGCGUGUAGGCUGGUUUUCCAGGCAAAUCCGGAAAAUCAAG